UCUCUCUUCUUUUACUCUCGUAUCAUCGCUUCCCUCCUCUCUUACCUUCACCUUUCUAACUCGAGCCAUCGCGCCGCCAUGCCUCCGACGACAAUCGCGGCAGCUCUAAACACAAAACCAACGUAGAGAUGAUGAAUCUCCACAACGGCGAUGAAGAAGACGAUGGCGGCGACACCGCACCUAGGAAAUGGGUGGAAGGAGCCGGAUCUGAAAAGGGUCGAGUGGAAAUCCUAACGGAGAAUCUCCAAAAAAUCAAGGAUUCUGCGAUGUGAAGAGCGAAUCGAGCAACAAAAACCUUCAAUCGGCGGAAGUGACGGUGGUGAGCGGCAGUGGAAAGCUUUUAAGUGGCUAUGAUGAUGAAUCUGCAGAAGAUAAAGAGCGGUGAAGGUUCUGCGGUUUUAAGAUUCAGAGAAUGGUGAUGAAGAUCUUGCAGAGAAUAAGGAGAGUUUUCUCGGGUGAGAUUGUUGGAAACCGAUAUAGCAGCAGGACGGGGAGUCAUAGAUUGAAGCAAAGAUGGAUAGAAGUGAGCAUUGAUACACAGGUGAAAGAACUCAUAAAGGCUGUGAAUCACGGUUUAGAACAUGAAGAUUUUGAUAGUGACGGUGGCAUUCGUAGAACAAUGGUGUUUGCCAACACUGUUGAAGCUGCUGAAACUGUGGCAAAGAUAUUGAACUUUACUGGGCUUGAGUGUUUACGUUAUCAUAAGAAUUGCACAUUGGAAGAGCGAGCACAUACAUUAGUUGAUUUCCAUGAGAAAUUUGAUGUUCUUGUAUGUACUGAUGCAACUGCUCAUGGUGUGGAUAUUCCAAACGUCUUGCAUGUUAUUCAGUUAGUCGAAGAACAUCACCGAUUCGAAGAACAUCACCACAGCAGCAUCUGCUGUCGGCCACCAAUAAUCCCUCUUCUUUGUUUUGGUGGUGAAUCGGCAGCCAAUAAUUGCCAAAUACUUCAAUCAAGAGUUAAUAGAUUGCAAUUGGAUAAAUAUCAUAUUGAUCCGGAUAAGUGAAAAGCUACUCUUGUGAUAUUAAUUUUACUGUGAAGAACUUUGGGAAAUGGCCAAGCUGCAUGACCGCGAGGCAUCAUUUCCACUGGGUGGAGACGAAGAAGAUUGUGAUGAACAUAAGGAAGAAGCUUGUGAUGAUCAUGAAGAUGUGGAAGAAGGUUGUGCUGAAGAUGUGGAAGAAGCUGGUUGUGCCAAAGAUGUGGAAGAAGAACAAGGAGAAGAUCAAGAAGAAUAGUUGUGUUUUAUAUUAUCUAACUAGCUAGUUCUUAGAACUUUUUUUUGUUAUUUUGGGAUGACUCUUUUUUGAGAGAAACUUGUGUUGAAUUUAGCUCUUGUUUUGGAUCCCAUGGUUGUUUUGAAUUUUGAAUUUGGGAUGACAUCAAAACUUAGUAUCCAACUAUUAUUAGUGGCACUACAAAAAAAAACUUACUUUUGACCUUAA
RNA transcript from Vicia villosa (hairy vetch), 1445 nucleotides. It is a transcript of the gene named DEAD-box ATP-dependent RNA helicase 22-like, with no coding region annotated. The transcript is spliced from 9 exons. Lineage: Eukaryota; Viridiplantae; Streptophyta; Magnoliopsida; Fabales; Fabaceae. The record is from RefSeq and is a predicted model, not a curated record.